GACGAACGCUGGCGGCGUGCCUAAUACAUGCAAGUAGAACGCUGAAGAGAGGAGCUUACUCUUCUUGGAUGAGUUGCGAACGGGUGAGUAACGCGUAGGUAACCUGCCUUGUAGCGGGGGAUAACUAUUGGAAACGAUAGCUAAUACCGCAUAACAAUGGAUGACACAUGUCAUUUAUUUGAAAGGGGCAAUUGCUCCACUACAAGAUGGACCUGCGUUGUAUUAGCUAGUAGGUGAGGUAAUGGCUCACCUAGGCGACGAUACAUAGCCGACCUGAGAGGGUGGUCGGCCACACUGGGACUGAGACACGGCCCCGACUCCUACGGGAGGCAGCAGUAGGGAAUCUUCGGCAAUGGGGGCAACCCUGACCGAGCAACGCCGCGUGAGUGAAGAAGGUUUUCGGAUCGUAAAGCUCUGUUGUAAGUCAAGAACGGGUGUGAGAGUGGAAAGUUCGCACUGUGACGGUAGCUUACCAGAAAGGGACGGCUAACUACGUG
This 497-nucleotide ribosomal RNA is filed under the name uncultured bacterium. RNAcentral's name for it is "partial 16S ribosomal RNA". It matches the Rfam family "Bacterial small subunit ribosomal RNA", at positions 28 to 507 of the family's 1533-position model. The record is from RNAcentral.